AUUGAACGCUGGCGGAAUGCUUUACACAUGCAAGUCGAACGGCAGCACGGGGGCAACCCUGGUGGCGAGUGGCGAACGGGUGAGUAAUACAUCGGAACGUGCCCGGUCGUGGGGGAUAACGUAGCGAAAGUUACGCUAAUACCGCAUACGAUCUGAGGAUGAAAGCGGGGGACCUUCGGGCCUCGCGCGAUCGGAGCUGCCGAUGUCAGAUUAGGUAGUUGGUGGGGUAAAGGCCUACCAAGCCGACGAUCUGUAGCUGGUCUGAGAGAACGACCACCCACACUGGGACUGAGACACGGCCCAGACUCCUACGGGAGGCAGCAGUGGGGAAUUUUGGACAAUGGGCGCAAGCCUGAUCCAGCCAUUCCGCGUGCAGGACGAAGGCCUUCGGGUUGUAAACUGCUUUUGUAUGGAACGAAAAGGCUCUGGCUAAUACCUGGGGCUCAUGACGGUACCGUAAGAAUAAGCACCGGCUAACUACGUG
This 484-nucleotide ribosomal RNA is filed under the name uncultured bacterium. RNAcentral's name for it is "partial 16S ribosomal RNA". It matches the Rfam family "Bacterial small subunit ribosomal RNA", at positions 30 to 507 of the family's 1533-position model. The record is from RNAcentral.